CCUACGGGCGGCAGCAGUGGGGAAUUUUGCGCAAUGCUCGUAAGAGUGACGCAGCGACGCCGCGUGAAUGACGAAGGCCUUCGGGUCGUAAAGUUCUUUCGACAGGGAAGAAAAUGCCUAUAAGUAACUGUGUAUGUAUUGACGGUACCUGUAUAAGCAGCACCGGCUAACUCCGUGCCAGCAGCCGCGGUAAUACGGAGGGGGCGAGCGUUGUUCGGAGGGACUGGGCGUAAAGAGCACGUAGGCGGUGUUGUAAGUCAUUAGUCAAAGACUAGAGCUCAACUUUAGUAAGGCUAGUGAUACUAUAAUACUAGAGUAUCAGAGAGGAUUGCAGAAUUCCUGGUGUAGCGGUGAAAUGCGUAGAUAUCAGGAGGAAUACCGUUAGCGAAGGCGGCAAUCUGGCUGGAAACUGACGCUGAGGUGCGAAAGCGUGGGUAGCAAACAGGAUUAGAUACCCUAGUAGUC
RNAcentral lists this ribosomal RNA (465 nucleotides) under uncultured bacterium. Its description in RNAcentral is "partial 16S ribosomal RNA". It matches the Rfam family "Bacterial small subunit ribosomal RNA", at positions 338 to 795 of the family's 1533-position model. The record is from RNAcentral.